ACCUCCUGCAUCUAGUCUUGGUUUGGUACCAGUGCAGUGUGGUAUGCCUGAAUGGCAAACCUUGGUUGAUUUUUUUAUGCUUUUUAGAUGUUGCCUUGAUAUUAACUCAACAUGAAUUUGUAAUUUGAAACCUGUCCUUAUUUGUGUUCCUCAUUAUUGACAUUCUUUUCAGGAUGGGUUAACACCACUCGAUCUUUGUCUUCACUCUGGCCGAGAUUUAAGAACUUAUGAACUUAUCAAGUUACUGAAGGGGCAUCCAUUGUCAAAGUCACGUGCUUGAGGCUACCUCUGCUGAGAUAUUCAUUAAAUGAUCAGCAGGUUUACAGUUACUAUCUGCACAUACUUCUUCACAGGUGAUUGGUUUGGUGUCAAGCAGUGAGCACUCACUAGACUUUUAAGAUCUAAAGCUACUAAUCCUAGCUUGACAUCAGUUACUAAGGUCAAUACACUCCUCAAAGUUCAUUGCAUCUUGGCUAGUUUUGUUUGACAGCUAGAUGGUCUAUGAAGAUUCCACUGAUGCUUAAUAUGAUAGAGAACACUUGAUGAGAAGCAUGUUAUGUAACUUAACUGCAACAUUGCUGUGUAUUUGCAGCAUGUUAUGUAACUUAACUGUAACAUUGCCUUGUGUUUGCAAUCAUGAAAAGGAAUCAUGUUUCGCUAAACUAGAUUCAAAGUUAAAUUGAUGAUAAUAGCAUUUUAUAUUUUUCAUAA
Molecule: non-coding RNA, 711 nt
Organism: Elaeis guineensis (African oil palm)
Lineage: Eukaryota; Viridiplantae; Streptophyta; Magnoliopsida; Arecales; Arecaceae
Source: RefSeq, a predicted model, not a curated record